UACGUAGGGCGCAAGCGUUGUCCGGAAUUAUUGGGCGUAAAGAGCUCGUAGGCGGUUUGUCGCGUCUGCUGUGAAAUCCUCAGGCUCAACCUGGGGCUUGCAGUGGGUACGGGCAGACUAGAGUGCGGUAGGGGUGACUGGAAUUCCUGGUGUAGCGGUGGAAUGCGCAGAUAUCAGGAGGAACACCGGUGGCGAAGGCGGGUCUCUGGGCCGAUACUGACGCUGAGGAGCGAAAGCGUGGGGAGCGAACAGG
Molecule: ribosomal RNA, 253 nt
Filed under: uncultured bacterium
Lineage: Bacteria
Description: partial 16S ribosomal RNA
Rfam family: Bacterial small subunit ribosomal RNA
Source: RNAcentral